GUGCAGCAGGCGCGAAUCCUUCGCAAUGCAGGAAACUGCGACGAGGGAACUCCAAGUGUCUACGCUCAGCGUAGGCUGUUCUCAAGCCUAGAAAGCUUGAGGAGUAAGGGGCUGGGGUAAGACGGGUGCCAUCUGUGGUAGCAGUCAAUAGAUUCGAUUUGUUACUGCAAGGCAUAAGCCGCCGCGGUAAUACCCGCAGCCCAAGUGUGCCGCUUUUAUGGGCCUAAAGCGUCCGUAGCCGGCCC
This 245-nucleotide ribosomal RNA is filed under the name uncultured microorganism. Its description in RNAcentral is "partial 16S ribosomal RNA". It matches the Rfam family "Archaeal small subunit ribosomal RNA", at positions 330 to 531 of the family's 1478-position model. The record is from RNAcentral.